Molecule: non-coding RNA, 253 nt
Filed under: uncultured bacterium
Lineage: Bacteria
Also listed under: 1 other name
Description: partial 16S ribosomal RNA
Rfam family: Bacterial small subunit ribosomal RNA
Source: RNAcentral
UACGGAGGGUGCAAGCGUUAUCCGGAUUCACUGGGUUUAAAGGGUGCGUAGGCGGGUAUUUAAGUCAGUGGUGAAAUCCUAGAGCUUAACUCUAGAACUGCCAUUGAUACUAUUUAUCUUGAAUAUUGUGGAGGUAAGCGGAAUAUGUCAUGUAGCGGUGAAAUGCUUAGAUAUGACAUAGAACACCUAUUGCGAAGGCAGCUUACUACGCAUAUAUUGACGCUGAGGCACGAAAGCGUGGGGAUCAAACAGG